CGGACUUCUCUUGAACUGAAUUUUAAUGUGCGUAUUGCUAUGCGUUUACUUUUCUACAUUGGUUAGAGGUAUAGGGGUAGGGUUGAGAUCUCACAAACAUGUUUAACCCCGCCGCAUUUUUGCGCCUGUCCCAAGUCAGGAGCCUCUGGCUUUGUUAGUCUGUAUUAUUUUAAUUUUAGUUUCUUGUGUACAAUUUGGAAAUUAGUAUGGCGUUCAUUAUCACUGGACUAGUAUAUAUUUGUUUAGGGGCCAGCUG
This 256-nucleotide long non-coding RNA is filed under the name Mytilus galloprovincialis (Mediterranean mussel). Lineage: Eukaryota; Metazoa; Mollusca; Bivalvia; Mytilida; Mytilidae. The record is from RNAcentral.